Molecule: non-coding RNA, 106 nt
Filed under: Desulfuromonas soudanensis
Lineage: Bacteria; Pseudomonadati; Thermodesulfobacteriota; Desulfuromonadia; Desulfuromonadales; Desulfuromonadaceae
Description: TPP sequence
Rfam family: TPP riboswitch aptamer (THI element)
About the family: Vitamin B(1) in its active form thiamin pyrophosphate (TPP) is an essential coenzyme that is synthesised by coupling of pyrimidine and thiazole moieties in bacteria. The previously detected thiamin-regulatory element, thi box was extended, resulting in a new, highly conserved RNA secondary structure, the THI element, which is widely distributed in eubacteria and also occurs in some archaea.
Source: Rfam by way of RNAcentral
CUAGACCGCUAGGGGAGUGUUGCACUGAGAGUCCUGCCGCAAGGCCGGACGACCCUUAGAACCUGAUCCGGGUCAUUCCGGCGGAGGGAAGCGGCGAGAGGAAGCG